This 440-nucleotide ribosomal RNA is filed under the name uncultured bacterium. RNAcentral describes it as "partial 16S ribosomal RNA". It matches the Rfam family "Bacterial small subunit ribosomal RNA", at positions 338 to 795 of the family's 1533-position model. The record is from RNAcentral.
CCUACGGGUGGCAGCAGUGGGGAAUAUUGCACAAUGGGGGGAACCCUGAUGCAGCAACGCCGCGUGGGUGAAGAAGUACUCCGGUAUGUAAAGCCCUGUCAGCAGGGAAGACAAUGACGGUACCUGACCAAGAAGCCCCGUCUAACUACGUGCCAGCAGCCGCGGUAAUACGUAGGGGGCAAGCGUUAUCCGGAUUUACUGGGUGGAAAGGGAGCGUAGACGGCAAGGCAAGUCUGGAGGGAAAGCCCGGGGCCCAACCACGGGACUGCUUUGGAAACUGUGUUGCUUGAGUGCAGGAGGGGUAAGCGGAAUGCCUAGUGUAGCGGUGAAAUGCGUAGAUAUUAGGAGGAACACCGGUGGCGAAGGCGGCGUACUGGACUGUAACUGACGUUGAGGCUCGAAGGCGUGGGGAGCAAACAGGAUUAGAUACCCGUGUAGUC